GUUUGGAUGGGGCUUAGGCUUCGGAUGCCCACAUUUGGUGAUUUAAAAGCCUAAGCUUAUCUACACAUGUGGACCUACAACUUUCAUGAAGAAACCUAGUCCAGAUUCGAAUUUUAUCAGAUAGAUAACUAGCUCUUAAAAUUCAAAACAAAUUUCCAACUUAAAUACAUUGGAUCUAGCUAUCUUUAUUUAUUGUAUUAAUCUUUAUAUUAGUAAGUAAAUGUUUCUAUUUAAUAAGGAAAAACAAAAGUUUAGAUACAAUAAAUGAAGACAACUAGAUCCAAAGUAUUUAAGUAAGAAUUCAUUUUAAAAUUUGUGAGCCAAUUAUU
This 329-nucleotide long non-coding RNA is filed under the name Carica papaya (papaya). Its description in RNAcentral is "long non-coding RNA (CPAP_LNC004228)". The record is from RNAcentral. Lineage: Eukaryota; Viridiplantae; Streptophyta; Magnoliopsida; Brassicales; Caricaceae.